GAUGAACGCUGGCGGCGUGCCUAAUACAUGCAAGUCGAGCGAACGGACGCGCAGCUUGCUUUUCUGAUGUUAGCGGCGUACGGGUGAGUAACACGUGGAUAACCUACCUAUAAGACUGGGAUAACUUCUUGAAACCGGUGCUAAUACCGGCUACUAUUUUGAUCCUCAUGGUUCAAAAGUGUUAGACGGUCUUGCUGUCACUUAUAGCUUGAUCCGCGCUGCAUUAGCUAGUUGGUAAGGUAACGGGCUACCAAGGCGACGAGUCAUAGCCGAACUGAGAGGGGGAUCGGCGACACGAGAGCGGGAACAGGGUCCAGACGACUGAGGGAGGCAGCAGUAGGGAAUCGUAGGCAAUGGGCGAAAGCAUGACGGAGCGACGCCGAGUGAGAGAUAAAGGUCUUCGGAUCGUAAAAAUCUGUUAUUGGGGAAGAACAUAUGUGUAAGUAACUGUACACAAAGUGACGGUACCUAAACAGAAAGCCACGGCUAACUACGUG
This 497-nucleotide ribosomal RNA is filed under the name uncultured bacterium. RNAcentral's name for it is "partial 16S ribosomal RNA". It matches the Rfam family "Bacterial small subunit ribosomal RNA", at positions 28 to 507 of the family's 1533-position model. The record is from RNAcentral.